This 66-nucleotide transfer RNA is filed under the name Lygus lineolaris (tarnished plant bug). RNAcentral describes it as "tRNA-Leu". Lineage: Eukaryota; Metazoa; Arthropoda; Insecta; Hemiptera; Miridae. The record is from RNAcentral.
UCUAAUGUGGCAGAAUAAGAGCCAUGAACUUAAGAUUCAUAUAUAAAGAUAUAUCUUUCAUCAGAA